Non-coding RNA from Vigna umbellata (rice bean), 416 nucleotides. The record is from RefSeq and is a predicted model, not a curated record. NCBI's taxonomy places the organism in Eukaryota, Viridiplantae, Streptophyta, Magnoliopsida, Fabales, Fabaceae.
GGCAUCAGAUAAUGAGGACCCUCAUUUCAUCUGCUUUGCCUGUGUAGAAGGUCAACUGUAUGAGCUUGAUGGAAGAAAGUCAGGACCAAUAUCUCAUGGUGUAUCAUCACCAAGUACUUUAUUGAGGGAUGUAGCUAAAGUGAUCCAGAGCAUGAUCCAGAAAAAUCCAGAUUCCCUCAAUUUCAAUGUCAUUGCAAUAUCAAAGAAAUCCGGAGAUCAUUAAGGUAGUUAAUUUGGGUGAAGCAGCUUUUGAUGUCAUCUGCUUUAUAAUCUUCAGUCAUCUGCAGUUUUAUUCACUUUAACUUUAUUUACGUUUUUUUAUUUUCAUUUGGAGGCCUAUCAAGUUGAGCAUCUUUCGUUUCAAAUAGAUGAUGCAGUGCUAGUAAAUUUGAUCUUAAACAAACUUUGACCUUGAA